Molecule: ribosomal RNA, 433 nt
Filed under: uncultured bacterium
Lineage: Bacteria
Description: partial 16S ribosomal RNA
Rfam family: Bacterial small subunit ribosomal RNA
Source: RNAcentral
AACGAACGCUGGCGGCAUGCCUAACACAUGCAAGUCGAACGAGACCUUCGGGUCUAGUGGCGCACGGGUGCGUAACGCGUGGGAACCUGCCCUUAGGUUCGGAAUAACUCCCCGAAAGGGGUGCUAAUACCGGAUAAUGUCUUCGGACCAAAGAUUUAUCGCCUUUGGAUGGGCCCGCGUUGGAUUAGCUAGUUGGUAGGGUAAAAGCCUACCAAGGCGACGAUCCAUAGCUGGUCUGAGAGGAUGAUCAGCCACACUGGGACUGAGACACGGCCCAGACUCCUACGGGAGGCAGCAGUGGGGAAUAUUGGACGAUGGGCGAAAGCCUGAUCCAGCAAUGCCGCGUGAGUGAUGAAGGCCUUAGGGUUGUAAAGCUCUUUUACCCGAGAUGAUAAUGACAGUACCGGGAGAAUAAGCUCCGGCUAACUCCGUG